This 325-nucleotide ribosomal RNA is filed under the name uncultured bacterium. RNAcentral's name for it is "bacterial SSU rRNA". It matches the Rfam family "Bacterial small subunit ribosomal RNA", at positions 28 to 334 of the family's 1533-position model. The record is from RNAcentral.
GAUGAACGCUGGCGGCGUGCUUAAUACAUGCAAGUCGAGCGAAGCACCUUAGCGGAAUUCUCCGGAAGGAAGGUAAAGUGACUGAGCGGGCGACGGGUGAAGGUACGCGUAGGUAACCUGCCUUAUACAGGGGGAUAACAGUUAGAAAUGGCUGCUAAUACCGCAUAAGCGCACAGGGCCGCAUGGCCCGGUGUGAAAAACUCCGGUGGUAUAAGAUGGACCCGCGUCUGAUUAGCUAGUUGGUGAGGUAACGGCCCACCAAGGCGACGAUUGGUAGCCGGACUGAGAGGUUGAACGGCCACAUUGGGACUGAGACACGGCCCAG